GACGAACGCUGGCGGCGUGCUUAACACAUGCAAGUCGAACGGAAAGGCCCUGCUUUUGUGGGGUGCUCGAGUGGCGAACGGGUGAGUAACACGUGAGUAACCUGCCCUUGACUUUGGGAUAACUUCAGGAAACUGGGGCUAAUACCGGAUAGGAGCUCCUGCUGCAUGGUGGGGGUUGGAAAGUUUCGGCGGUUGGGGAUGGACUCGCGGCUUAUCAGCUUGUUGGUGGGGUAGUUGCUUACCAAGGCUUUGACUGGUCGCCGGCCUGGGAGGGUGACCGGGCACAAUGGGACUGAGAGACGGACCAGACUCCUACGGGAGGCAGCAGUGGGGAAUAUUGCACAAUGGGCGGAAGUCUGAUGCAGCAACGCCGCGUGCGGGAUGACGGCCUUCGGGUUGUAAACCGCUUUCGCCUGUGACGAAGCGUGAGUGACGGUAAUGGGUAAAGAAGCACCGGCUAACUACGUG
This 468-nucleotide ribosomal RNA is filed under the name uncultured bacterium. Its description in RNAcentral is "partial 16S ribosomal RNA". It matches the Rfam family "Bacterial small subunit ribosomal RNA", at positions 28 to 507 of the family's 1533-position model. The record is from RNAcentral.